This 228-nucleotide unclassified non-coding RNA is filed under the name rhizosphere metagenome. Its description in RNAcentral is "partial ribosomal RNA internal transcribed spacer region". The record is from RNAcentral.
GUAGGUAAGUUGAAACCCACGUCUGCUCCCUCCAUUUCCACAGCGGCUAAUAUGAAUUUUUAGGUGAACCUGCGGAAGGAUCAUUACCGUGUUUGGCUCCGGCCCUCACGCCCCUUGUGUACCUCUGGUUUCUUUGGCGCUCCGGCGUCAGACGUAUCAAAUUCUAAAAUGAGACUGUCCGAGUCAUACAAAUGAUUAAAACUUUCAACAACGGAUCUCUUGGUUCCA